CCUACGGGUGGCAGCAGUGAGGAAUAUUGGUCAAUGGACGCAAGUCUGAACCAGCCAUGCCGCGUGCAGGAAGACGGCUCUAUGAGUUGUAAACUGCUUUUGUACGAGGGUAGAUCCCGAUACGUGUAUCGGGUUGAAAGUAUCGUACGAAUAAGGGUCGGCUAACUCCGGGCCAGCAGGCGCGGUAAUACGGAGGAUUCAAGCGUUAUCCGGAUUUAUUGGGUUGAAAGGGUGCGUAGGCGGUUCGAUAAGUUAGAGGUGAAAGCCCGGGGCUCAACUCCGGCACUGCCUCUGAUACUGUCGGGGUAGAGUUUAGUUGCGGUAGGCUGAAUGUAUGGUGUAGCGGGGAAAUGCAUAGAGAUCAUACAGAACACCGAUUGCGAAGGCAGCUUACCAAACUACGACUGACGUUGAGGCACGAAAGCGGGGGGAGCAAACAGGAUUAGAUACCCGGGUAGUC
Molecule: ribosomal RNA, 460 nt
Filed under: uncultured bacterium
Lineage: Bacteria
Description: partial 16S ribosomal RNA
Rfam family: Bacterial small subunit ribosomal RNA
Source: RNAcentral